AGCAGCCGCGGUAAUUCCAGCUCCAAUAGCGUAUAUUAAAGUUGUUGCAGUUAAAAAGCUCGUAGUUGAAUUUUGGAUCUGACCAAACGGUCCGCUUUUGGCGAGUACUGUUUUGUGUCGGGUCUAUCCUUCUGGUGAGCUGGUAUGCCCUUUAUUGGGUGUGUCAGGGAACCAGGACCAUUACCUUGAAAAAUUAGAGUGUUUAAAGCGGGCAUAAGCUUGAAUAGAUUAGCAUGGAAUAAUAGAAUAGGACGUUGUGGUUCUAUUUUGUUGGUUUCUAGGACCACCGUAAUGAUUAAUAGGGAUAGUUGGGGGCAUUAGUAUUCAAUUGUCAGAGGUGAAAUUCUUGGAUUUAUUGAAGACUAACUAUUGCGAAAGCAUUUUUG
RNAcentral lists this ribosomal RNA (386 nucleotides) under uncultured Glomeromycotina. RNAcentral describes it as "bacterial SSU rRNA". It matches the Rfam family "Eukaryotic small subunit ribosomal RNA", at positions 569 to 957 of the family's 1831-position model. Lineage: Eukaryota; Fungi; Glomeromycota. The record is from RNAcentral.